AAUAUUGGACAAUGGGGGCAACCCUGAUCCAGCCAUGCCGCGUGUGUGAAGAAGGUCUUCGGUUGUUAAAGCAUUUUAAGAUGGGAGGAAGGGCUUUAGGCUAAUACCCUGAAGUUUUGACGUUACCAACAGUAUAAGCACCGGCUAACUUCGUGCCAGCAGCCGCGGUAAUCCAGAGGGUGCAAGCGUUAAUCGGAAUUACUGGGCGUAAAGCGCGCGUAGGUGGUUCAGUAAGAUGGGUGUGAAAUCCCCGGGCUUAACCUGGGAACUGCUUUCAUAACCGCUGAGCUAGAGUACGGUAGAGGGUAGUGGAAUUUCCUGUGUAGCGGUGAAAUGCGUAGAUAUAGGAAGGAACACCAGUGGCGAAGGCGACUACCUGGACUGAUACUGACACUGAGGUGCGAAAGCGUGGGGAGCAAACA
RNAcentral lists this ribosomal RNA (422 nucleotides) under uncultured bacterium. Its description in RNAcentral is "partial 16S ribosomal RNA". It matches the Rfam family "Bacterial small subunit ribosomal RNA", at positions 360 to 774 of the family's 1533-position model. The record is from RNAcentral.